UGGUUCUGGCAUCGAUGAAGAACGCAGCGAAAUGCGAUAAGUAAUGUGAAUUGCAGAAUUCAGUGAAUCAUCGAAUCUUUGAACGCACAUUGCGCCCGCCAGUAUUCUGGCGGGCAUGCCUGUUCGAGCGUCAUUUCAACCCCUCAGGCCCUGGUGCCUGGCGUCGGGGCCAUCUCCCGCGAAGGAGAGCCCUCAGAAACAGUGGCGGACCCGCCGCGGCUCCGAGCGCAGUAGUUAACAUUUCUCGCUCUGGAGGUCCGUGGCGCGGCACUCCAGCCGUAAAACCGGGCCAGGGAAACCUGCAACAGCCCAAACCCCACAAGGUUGACCUCGGAUCAGGUAGGAAUACCCGCUGA
Molecule: unclassified non-coding RNA, 356 nt
Filed under: uncultured fungus
Lineage: Eukaryota; Fungi
Description: partial contains 5.8S ribosomal RNA and internal transcribed spacer 2
Rfam family: 5.8S ribosomal RNA (bases 1-133)
Source: RNAcentral